Raphanus sativus (radish) is the source of this 550-nucleotide long non-coding RNA. RefSeq lists it as uncharacterized. The transcript is spliced from 3 exons. NCBI's taxonomy places the organism in Eukaryota, Viridiplantae, Streptophyta, Magnoliopsida, Brassicales, Brassicaceae. The record is from RefSeq and is a predicted model, not a curated record.
GUUGUCGCGAUCGUUACAUCAACACCGCAAGACUCUCUAAAUAUGUUUAGUGUAUAUAGGUGGUCGUCGCUAUCGUUCAUAGACAUCGAAACCGUGGCUCUCAUAUCUUAUAGAGCGUAAGCGUACGGGCUAAAGCCAAUAAAGCACAGAUUGAAAACUUUAUUCUUCCGUCUUCAGAAUAAAUAACUCCAAAGAAAGAUUGUUGAUUACGAGACAAGGGAAAGCCAUCCAAGUACACUUUUCCUCUGCACAGAGAAUCUAUGGGAAGAAAAAAACUGAAAGUGGAUGGGUCCACCUAGAUCGAGAUCCAAUCGUUUCACACACGCGCGAAGCUUCAUCCGGGACCCAUCAUCUAGUUGUUUAGGUUUAAUUGUUUACUAGAUUUUGAUCCGCGCUUUGGAAGCGCGGAAUAUUUUAGGAUGAAAAAUUUCACUAAUAACUUAACAAAUAUUUUGGUAAUUUUUAGAGAGUGUGUAUUUAAAAUAAUUUUGCAUUUAAAUCAGUGUUUUUAAAUUCAACCCGAUUGUGAUUAUACCAGUUAAUCCGGAGA